This 721-nucleotide ribosomal RNA is filed under the name uncultured endophytic bacterium. RNAcentral describes it as "bacterial SSU rRNA". It matches the Rfam family "Bacterial small subunit ribosomal RNA", at positions 1113 to 1504 of the family's 1533-position model. The record is from RNAcentral.
GGCUUCUAUAUAGUCGAAGGGCCUCAUGACUACUAAUGUUCCGAGGCAAUCCAUUCGGCGACCUUAAUGAUGUGAUUUGCAAUCCUUUCACUUCAAUCAAAAAAGGUGCUCAAAUACACUAGGGUAUACUCAAUAGAAAGGCCGCCAAUAAGCCACGACCCUUAUGAGUAAUCCGUGGUUUUUUGGCAUAAAGGCCGUAUGAUCAAAUAACUUCGGUGUGGCGCUAUUAAUUGUGGUCAUAGCCCUUAUUUGUAUAUAGUAAGUAGGCCCCGCUCCGAAACAAAGAAAAAAGGUGCGUUAGCACUCACGAGGGACUGCCAGUGAGAUACUGGAGGAAGGUGGGGAUGACGUCAAGUCCGCAUGGCCCUUAUGGGCUGGGCCACACACGUGCUACAAUGGCAAUGACAAUGGGAAGCAAGGCUGUAAGGCGGAGCGAAUCCAGAAAGAUUGCCUCAGUUCGGAUUGUUCUCUGCAACUCGGGAACAUGAAGUUGGAAUCGCUAGUAAUCGCGGAUCAGCAUGCCGCGGUGAAUAUGUACCCGGGCCCUGUACACACCGCCCGUCACACCCUGGGAAUUGGUUUCGCCCGAAGCAUCGGAACAAUGAUCACCCUUGGUAUUUAUUCUGUGUCACACUAGUCACACAAUGCUCUUUGUUGGUCUUAUUGGCCUAUACCACGGUGGGGUCUUCGACUGGGGUGAAGUCGUAACAAGGUAGCCGUA